Molecule: transfer RNA, 75 nt
Filed under: Acidimicrobiaceae bacterium
Lineage: Bacteria; Bacillati; Actinomycetota; Acidimicrobiia; Acidimicrobiales; Acidimicrobiaceae
Also listed under: 2 other names
Description: tRNA-Gln
Rfam family: tRNA
About the family: Transfer RNA (tRNA) molecules are approximately 80 nucleotides in length. Their secondary structure includes four short double-helical elements and three loops (D, anti-codon, and T loops). Further hydrogen bonds mediate the characteristic L-shaped molecular structure. tRNAs have two regions of fundamental functional importance: the anti-codon, which is responsible for specific mRNA codon recognition, and the 3' end, to which the tRNAs corresponding amino acid is attached (by aminoacyl-tRNA synthetases). tRNAs cope with the degeneracy of the genetic code in two manners: having more than one tRNA (with a specific anti-codon) for a particular amino acid; and 'wobble' base-pairing, i.e. permitting non-standard base-pairing at the 3rd anti-codon position.
Source: RNAcentral
UGGGGUGUGGUGUAAUUGGCAACACGGCAGUUUCUGGUUCUGCUAUUCGGGGUUCGAGUCCCUGCACCCCAACCA